Non-coding RNA from Dallia pectoralis (Alaska blackfish), 71 nucleotides. The record is from the annotation of a GenBank genome assembly. Lineage: Eukaryota; Metazoa; Chordata; Actinopteri; Esociformes; Umbridae.
GGGGGUAUAGCUCAGUGGUAGAGCAUUUGACUGCAGGUCAGAGGUCUCAGGUUCAAGUCCUGGUGCCCCCU